GAUACCGCCCAAGAGUUCAUAUCGACGGCGGUGUUUGGCACCUCGAUGUCGGCUCAUCACAUCCUGGGGCUGAAGUAGGUCCCAAGGGUAUGGCUGUUCGCCAUUUAAAGGGGUACGCGAGCUGGGUUUAGAACGUCGUGAGACAGUUCGGUCCCUAUCUGCCGUGGGCGCUGGAGAACUGAGGGGGGCUGCUCCUAGUACGAGAGGACCGGAGUGGACGC
This 221-nucleotide ribosomal RNA is filed under the name Shigella flexneri. RNAcentral describes it as "partial 23S ribosomal RNA". It matches the Rfam family "Bacterial large subunit ribosomal RNA", at positions 2484 to 2704 of the family's 2925-position model. Lineage: Bacteria; Pseudomonadati; Pseudomonadota; Gammaproteobacteria; Enterobacterales; Enterobacteriaceae. The record is from RNAcentral.